GUACCACACCAAGCAAAGCUCUCUGGGUGACACAGUUGCCACCACCAGGGCACUGACCCUUACUCUGUGUUCUCCUAGCUCCUCCUGAGGGUGCUGUAGGAGACAUCUGCAAAAAAGAAGAUGCUGGCAAUAUGCCAUCAACCUCAGAGGGGAGUAUUUACCUUGAAAUGGCUCACUUCCUGAGGAACAAACUUGCUGGAUCUAGUGUACGGAAACCUGAUUCUGGGUUCCUUUGGGAAGGAGCAUUACGGGCCUGCUCCUGGACCACCUCAUAUCACCAGCACCCUCUACCCAAGGUCCUGGAGCCAACACUGGAGUAAAAGAGCACAAGAGAACUCCUUAGAGGUGGAAGGAUACCCUCUGAGGUCAAAUCAUUGGGCUUGUGGCCAUGAGACCACAGACUUUGCCUGGCUUCCAGUGACUGUCCGAGAUGACCUGUGGAGUGCACCGCCUGUACUUGGACAUCACUGUCUUUUCGGAUCCAUACCCGUCAUCCUUGGAAUUUCCCCUGCAUCCAAACCUGUUCCUGAUACAGAUAACCCUAAGGAAUAUCUUGGAUGUCUUCACGGGGCUUAUGACUUAUUCUGAGGUUUACAAAAUAGAGGCCCCCAGCUGAGCAAAGAGAGGGCUGCAGCGCCGAGGGAACAGCUGCCGGACUCACCGGAGAGGCCUCCUGGAGCACGCCGGGACCCCCUCCACCCCCUGGCUUUGG
This 712-nucleotide long non-coding RNA is filed under the name Homo sapiens (human). RNAcentral's name for it is "HSALNT0392979". Lineage: Eukaryota; Metazoa; Chordata; Mammalia; Primates; Hominidae. The record is from RNAcentral.